Molecule: long non-coding RNA, 398 nt
Organism: Mastomys coucha (southern multimammate mouse)
Lineage: Eukaryota; Metazoa; Chordata; Mammalia; Rodentia; Muridae
Exons: 2
Source: RefSeq, a predicted model, not a curated record
CUAUUAUAUUUUCCCCUACCAGGUAGAUCACUGUGUCUUCCCUUGUUCAUUGAGUCUAUGUAUUAUACCUUCUCUACCAUUUAUUGAAUGAAUACUAUCCACAUACCACAUUUACCUUCCUGGGUUUGAGUGACCUCAAGAUGAUAUGUUUUCUAGUUCAAUCGAUUUGCCUGCAAAUUUCAUGGCACCAUUUUUUUUUCUAACAGCUGAAUAAUACUCCAUUGUUCUCAUUUAUCGUUUGGCAAGAGGAGGGGACCAAUCUCCACUAAUUAAUAAUUCAAGAAACUGCCUUGGCAUGCUCCAGUGAAGAGAGAAGAUACCUGGGGUGAGGAUGAUAGAAACAUCUUUAUGGGAGAAAACUAAUAAAGAUCACAGUCCUAAGAUAUAGGCAAAAUGAA